AACCUUUUGCAGUUCAUAAGCGUGAUGAUUGGGUGUUCACGCCUUUGUGUGACACGAGCCCCCCUCAAACCUCGUUACGACUCGGCACAUUACCCAUCCGACG
Neomonachus schauinslandi (Hawaiian monk seal) is the source of this 103-nucleotide small nucleolar RNA. RefSeq annotates it as small nucleolar RNA U13. The record is from RefSeq and is a predicted model, not a curated record. The transcript has a single exon. NCBI's taxonomy places the organism in Eukaryota, Metazoa, Chordata, Mammalia, Carnivora, Phocidae.